Molecule: ribosomal RNA, 497 nt
Filed under: uncultured bacterium
Lineage: Bacteria
Description: partial 16S ribosomal RNA
Rfam family: Bacterial small subunit ribosomal RNA
Source: RNAcentral
GACGAACGCUGGCGGCGUGCCUAAUACAUGCAAGUUGAGCGAUGAAGAUUGGUGCUUGCACCAAUUUGAAGAGCAGCGAACGGGUGAGUAACGCGUGGGGAAUCUGCCUUUGAGCGGGGGACAACAUUUGGAAACGAAUGCUAAUACCGCAUAACAACUUUAAACAUAAGUUUUAAGUUUGAAAGAUGCAAUUGCAUCACUCAAAGAUGAUCCCGCGUUGUAUUAGCUAGUUGGUGAGGUAAAGGCUCACCAAGGCGAUGAUACAUAGCCGACCUGAGAGGGUGAUCGGCCACAUUGGGACUGAGACACGGCCCAAACUCCUACGGGAGGCAGCAGUAGGGAAUCUUCGGCAAUGGACGAAAGUCUGACCGAGCAACGCCGCGUGAGUGAAGAAGGUUUUCGGAUCGUAAAACUCUGUUGGUAGGGAAGAACGUUGGUGAGAGUGGAAAGCUCAUCAAGUGACGGUAACUACCCAGAAAGGGACGGCUAACUACGUG